This 481-nucleotide long non-coding RNA is filed under the name Cottoperca gobio. Its description in RNAcentral is "lncRNA (ENSCGOG00000001984.1)". Lineage: Eukaryota; Metazoa; Chordata; Actinopteri; Perciformes; Bovichtidae. The record is from RNAcentral.
UCUUGGUGGCAGUAUAUGUUUUUAGAGCAGGCAUGUUUUAAGUUCAUAUUGCAUCUGACUCGAGGAAUGAAAAGUGCGAUGGACGGCGCGGGCAGGAGGGGGGGAGGCGAGAUCCACCUCCGCGGGAAAUAAUGGGGAUGAUAAUAAAACAGGGGGAAAACCCGUCCGAGGGAAGCUGAAUGGAUGGAGCCAGAGAGACGUCACGGCCAUCCGCAGCCAUGAAGACUCAGUGGUCCAGCCUCCGGCAGCUCACUUGGUCUCCAUCUCCCGAGCUGCUCGCUUCUCGCUUUUGGAGAGCGGACGCCGCAGCGACUCGCAGACGAAAGCGUUAGAACUUGGGCCAUGUCACUUCGCCUGCAGCUUGAGAGGAUGGGUAGCCUUAGGGGUUGGCAUCAAGACCCCAAAAGCGCCACCCUCCCAAAAAAGCGCAAACUCGGCCACAAGAACUGCAACACGAGAGAAGAAAAUGGACGACGUUUAA